GACGAACGCUGGCGGCGUGCUUAACACAUGCAAGUCGAACGAAGUGGCGAACGGGUGAGUAACGCGUAAUCAACCUGCCCUUCAGAGCGGGACAACAGUUGGAAACGACUGCUAAUACCGCAUACUGAAGGAGGGGAUUGCGUCUGAUUAGCUAGUUGGGGGGGUAACGGCCCACCAAGGCGAUGCACAGUAGCCAGUCUUAGAGGGUGAACGGCCCACUUGGGAAUUGAAAACGGCCCAGAAUCCUACGGGAGGCAGCAGUGGGGGAUCUUCCGAAAUGGACGAAAGUCUGACGGAGCAACGCCGCGUGAGUGAUGACGGCCUUCGGGUUGUAAAGCUCUGUUAAUCGGGACGCGGUACCGGAAUAGAAAGCCACGGCUAACUACGUGCCAGCAGCCGCGGUAAUUC
Molecule: ribosomal RNA, 408 nt
Filed under: uncultured bacterium
Lineage: Bacteria
Description: partial 16S ribosomal RNA
Rfam family: Bacterial small subunit ribosomal RNA
Source: RNAcentral